RNAcentral lists this long non-coding RNA (3845 nucleotides) under Homo sapiens (human). RNAcentral describes it as "HSALNT0070207". The record is from RNAcentral. Lineage: Eukaryota; Metazoa; Chordata; Mammalia; Primates; Hominidae.
CGCAAGAGUCACGGUCAGUUGCGCCUCUGCUUCGGAAGAGUAUUUUUAGUGGCAAAUAAAGUGGUGCGCAAAUAAACAAACGCCUGGAACAAAUCCUGCAAAGGAGAGCGCCUGUGUGCGGCCCACUGUCUAACUAGGUCAGCCUCGGGCACAGCUCCUUUUGACAGUUUGCUCCCCAGGGCGGAAGGUGACCCGCAGGUGCCGGCUGCUUUCCCCACCAAUCAGCCAUCUGUGGUUUGAGACUCACAAGCUUAGGAGAGACUCGGGAGGCAUCAGUUCCGCAUCCCGCACUCCCACGUGAAUUUGCCCCCGCCCUGAGUCAGAACCCUAGAGGGGUGAAAUCCCUGAAUUCUGCAGAGGAAACCCAUACUUCUUUGCUUUUUCAGCAAUUCCAGGAGAUGUCGUUUUUCAAGUGGCAAAUGUGUGGCUCUAGAGGACAGAGUAACCACCUUGCAGCCAAGAAGCCCUGAUGUCAACUCCCAGCUCUGCUGCAGCACCCAGAAAUCACCGGACCUUUCUGCAUCUUUCUGGUCUUUGAGCUUCUUAAAGGGAAGACAUGUCCUAUUCAUCUCUACACCCCCCACACCAGUCUGCAUUCAGUAAGUGCUCAAUCAAUGUCUGCUGAAUCACAUCUUCCCACUCAACUGCAUGGCCUCGGAUGAUCCAAUUCUGUGGGACUCAGGGUCUCCCUGAUUCUGAAGAUCUCCAUUUCAGCCACCCCAUCCUGGUGCUUUUUCUGGAGAGACUGGGAAAAAGGUCUUAUUGGCUGUGCAAACUUGAGGGAGUUGCCUAACCACUCUGGGCCCUGUUUUCCUGGCUUUGCCACUCUUCAGCUGUGUGACCCGGGGAAGCUCUCAACCUCUUUGUGCCUCCAUUUCCACAUCUGUAAAAUGGGGAUAUGAAAGUGGCUGCUUUGUGAAGAGUCCUGAGAAUAAAUGAGUUAAGGAAAACUGAUAUGGAUAAAUAUGGAAGAGAGCUGGCCAGUGGAUGAAAUGGUGAUGUAAAGGUGAGCUUUGCGGAAGAGUGGAGAAAAGAGAUUGGCACUGAAGUGGGCAGUGAAAGAGCAAGAGGCUUGUGGGAGACUUGAUUUCAGAGGCAGCGUUUGGAUGGUUAUGAACAGGCUUUCCUCUUCUUUCAGGGGUACCGUAAAGAUCAGAAUUAAUAGUAUGACUAUUUGGUUUGGAGGCUGUUUCAUUAAGUAUUACACUGUGGAGAGACUGGAUCACAUGGGUCAUAUUAUUUAUUCAGGUUACAUUCACACUCCCUGUGAAUUCCCACCCUAUGCAAACUGGCAAGAAAACGCUAUUUUAAAAGAUUCUUGAACGCUUUUGUAUCUUUCUUAAGACUUUUGUAUACAGCACUGUUCACAUAGUAGGUAGUCAAAAUUAGUGAGAAAGACUCAAGCAAAAAGUUUAUUUGGAUUUCCAUAUGAUUUAUAAGCCAAGACGCUAUAAUCCAAAGAGGCAGGAAAAUGAUGUAAACUAGAAAUAAAAAUAUUUGUAAGUGACAAUGUGUCCUGAAUUCUUUGACAGGUUAAGAGAAAUAAAAGCAGGAGACGAGGAGAGAGUCACACCACGGCUCUGCAGCCCACACCACCUUGGAACCAAACAGGGAGGUGGCAGAACUGAUGGGCUGGCCGCACCACCUUAAAUCUCUUAGCUCCAAAACUGGAGGUGCUCAUCAGGACCCUGCAUCAUUUCUGUGGGUGAUGGAUGGUGUGAGGUAAGGCACAGAGAUCUAGACUUAUUUCUCCUUCCACAACAAUUGUUUCUUGGAAGAGGAAGAAAACUUAGCUGGAUUUUAUCUCUUUGUGUGGAUUUCUGGGGUAGACACCCAGAGGUGUGUGCAGGAGCAUGCUCUUUGGGGCCCACAUAGAGAUUCCAGCAGGUGCUGGAGAUUCUGGGGUAGCCUUUCCAUGACUGCUGGCCUCUUUUCCCCUGUGUUGCUUUGGUUUGCUGUCUGGCUAAAGGCAGGAGUGGGAGAAACUCACAUUCCACAAGAGGCUGCCUGGAGCAGAGGCCAAGAGGGUAAGGUUUGUCCAAGGCCUUCCAUCUCAGCUUUGCUGCCAAUUUGUCAGAAAAAAAAUCAUUUGUGCCAAUUAGACCCUGGUUAGGAAAGUGUUGUCCUGUCUGGGAAGCAGGUACAGAAACCAGUUGCAAGGACAGGAGAUCAAUGAAAGUGACACAUUACUUAUGCCUCCAAUUCUUCUCAGCCCUCAAUUUAGUCUCUGAGACACAGAGAAAAUAAGUGUACUUGCCUUGCUAAUGGGUACAUGGUUGGCUUUGGGCAAUUUAUAUAGAGCACUUUAGUUCCAAGAUGAAAUGCACUGAGAUAUUAGGAUUAGUCUCUGCUUUAAUGAGUUUCUGACUUGCAGGUUUGAAAAAAUUUAGUUCUUUUCUGUAUUUCUCUACAAACACAAAACAAUGAUUUAAUGGUAAAACAACAAUGAAAAGAAACUAGGCCAUUCUCUCCAAAAUGAUUAAAAGGGUACUUCUCCUGACCUGACAUAACCUUUCCUCAUAUGAAUUUAUUAUCUGUAUUCACACUCAUAUUCCACUGGAAUGCCUUGGGUCCAGGUGGAUGGUUGCUUAUGGUUAGUAUCGAUUCUGAGCAGGUAGGCAUUCAUACUGUUUGGUUGACGCCUGUGGUGAACAGACCUUAAGGUGACUUCUUGCACCCCUGAGUCAUUUUCUUGUAUAAUCUCCUCUCUUUGAGGACACAAACUGUGCCCUGCUUCAAACCAGUGGAAUAGAGACAAGGUGAUGAGAUCUUUGGUUAUUGCACCUAACUGCUUCAUUCAUUGCACAAUUAGUCACACGCUGUUUUGUGAUGCAGAACAUUUUUUUUUAAGAGAUGGUAGUCUCACUCUGACACCCAGGUUGGAGUGCAGUGACAUGAUCAGAGCUCACUGCAGCCUCAAACUCCUGGGCUCAAGGGAUCCUCCUGCCUCAGCCUCCUGAGUAGCUGGGACUAGAGGUGCGUGCCACCACACCCAGCUAUUUUUUAUUUUUUGUAGAAAUGGAGUCUCACUUUGUGGCCCAAGCUGGUCUCCAACUCCUGGGCUCAAGUGAUCCUCCCACCUUGGCUUAUCAAAUUGCUGGGAUCACAGGUUUGAGCCACCGUGCUUGGACUGUGAUGCAAAAUUUUAUCUAAACCUUGUAUUGUUGACUAUAGCAUCAUGCACUUACUAUUUUCCCUCUUAACUAGAUUUUAAGUCUCUUGAGGGCAAGAACUCUGUUCUUGAAGAUUUUCAGAAGCCCGAUAGCAUAUGGAAGUACUUGACACACAAUAAGUACACAGUCAUAUGUGAUUUGGUUUCUGAGCCUUCAUUUGUCCAACAAAACCAGAUGGGUCUUAGAUGAAGAUAUACGUGGCAAACACUGCAUGCCUACUGUGGGUCAGGUUAGCUCCCAGACAUGCAGAAAACAAAAGCUCUGUCCUCAGGAGUUCAUGAUGGUUCAACCCAAUCAACGAAGUCUUGCAAUCUCACUUCCUCCUUACCUUGUAGAGUUGGAAGAUAUCCAAAUAUUCCUAGAGUUCUUUGUCAAUCUGUCAGGAUUAUAAUUCCACAGAUCAGGCAGAGUGUAACCAUGAAGCUCUUCAGUGAAUUUUUAGUGACUUUUGGGUGAUUUUUUAGUUUCCAAGUAGAAGAAGCAAAAGACCCUUGUGGUGGUUACCUUCCAUCUAAACAGAGAGUGAGCUACAAAGAUACUGCUGUCCCUCAGUGGCCCAUGGGUGUCCCUGCAAAUCUGUGACUCAAGUGGCCAUAUUCAUAUUAAGCAGACCAGAGAUCAAAACCAUAUUAGGCAUGAACCACUUUUUAUUCAUAGGCUUACCGAAUAUAU